This 73-nucleotide transfer RNA is filed under the name Candidatus Tremblayella princeps. RNAcentral describes it as "Candidatus Tremblaya princeps tRNA-Tyr(GTA)". It matches the Rfam family "tRNA". From Rfam's summary of the family: Transfer RNA (tRNA) molecules are approximately 80 nucleotides in length. Their secondary structure includes four short double-helical elements and three loops (D, anti-codon, and T loops). The record is from RNAcentral. Lineage: Bacteria; Pseudomonadati; Pseudomonadota; Betaproteobacteria.
GGAGCGGUAGUUCAGGUGGUGAUAGGUCGGCCUGUAACGCCGUAGGUCGCGGGUUAGAGUCCCGUCCGCUCCG